RNAcentral lists this transfer RNA (75 nucleotides) under Oikeobacillus pervagus. Its description in RNAcentral is "tRNA-Gln". It matches the Rfam family "tRNA". From Rfam's summary of the family: Transfer RNA (tRNA) molecules are approximately 80 nucleotides in length. Their secondary structure includes four short double-helical elements and three loops (D, anti-codon, and T loops). Lineage: Bacteria; Bacillati; Bacillota; Bacilli; Caryophanales; Bacillaceae. The record is from RNAcentral.
UGGGCUAUAGCCAAGCGGUAAGGCAACGGACUUUGACUCCGUGACUCGCUGGUUCGAAUCCAGCUAGCCCAGCCA